AUUGAACGCUGGCGGCAGGCCUAACACAUGCAAGUCGAGCGGAUGAAGGGAGCUUGCUCCUGGAUUCAGCGGCGGACGGGUGAGUAAUGCCUAGGAAUCUGCCUGGUAGUGGGGGAUAACGUCCGGAAACGGGCGCUAAUACCGCAUACGUCCUGAGGGAGAAAGUGGGGGAUCUUCGGACCUCACGCUAUCAGAUGAGCCUAGGUCGGAUUAGCUAGUUGGUGGGGUAAAGGCCUACCAAGGCGACGAUCCGUAACUGGUCUGAGAGGAUGAUCAGUCACACUGAAACUGAGACACGGUCCAGACUCCUACGGGAGGCAGCAGUGGGGAAUAUUGGACAAUGGGCGAAGGCCUGAUCCAGCCAUGCCGCGUGUGUGAAGAAGGUCUUCGGAUUGUAAAGCACUUUAAGUUGGGAGGAAGGGCAGUAAGUUAAUACCUUGCUGUUUUGACGUUACCAACAGAAUAAGCACCGGCUAACUUCGUG
RNAcentral lists this ribosomal RNA (484 nucleotides) under uncultured bacterium. Its description in RNAcentral is "partial 16S ribosomal RNA". It matches the Rfam family "Bacterial small subunit ribosomal RNA", at positions 30 to 507 of the family's 1533-position model. The record is from RNAcentral.